Schizophyllum amplum is the source of this 96-nucleotide non-coding RNA. Lineage: Eukaryota; Fungi; Basidiomycota; Agaricomycetes; Agaricales; Schizophyllaceae. The record is from the annotation of a GenBank genome assembly.
UCCCUCUUAGCUCAGUGGUAGAGCGCUUCACUAGUACAGAAGAGUUCGGCUCAAUGUUCUAUGAAGAGGUCAGUCGUUCAAGUCGGCUAGAGGGAA